Papio anubis (olive baboon) is the source of this 1309-nucleotide long non-coding RNA. NCBI's taxonomy places the organism in Eukaryota, Metazoa, Chordata, Mammalia, Primates, Cercopithecidae. The record is from Ensembl.
GCAUUGGAAGUUAGAGAUAGUAAACGGGAGGCAUGUUUACCAUCCAUUGUAAAAGAUGUGGCUGCCCUAAGUUCUCUCUAUUCCUCUCCUUAUAAUGCAGCUUACUGUGUGUGCUGGUGUCACUUGACCCUCUCUGCAUUACCCCAGGGGCAUCAGGACUUGGAGAACUGGCAUAAAAAUGCUGCUACUCUGGCUACUACCAUUGCUCGCUCAUUUAUGACCUCGCGCACUGAAUGCCUUAGAAAAGGCUCUUCUAAAUGCCCAGGGAAUCUGGAGGCACACUUGGCUUGGGGACUGUUCAGCUCAUCUUUUCCCGGAAGUCUUCAUCUAACAGAGGUAAGAUUGCCCUCUCCUUUGACAUCUAGGUUUGUGCUGCUGUUCAGUAUUUUAAAACCACACACAUUUUGCUUAGAUACGCAAAUAUAGUUGGUCCUCUAUAUCUGUAGACUUGACCAAUCGCAGAUCAAAAUAUUUUUAAAAACAGUAAAACUAAUGACACAACAAUUAAAAAUAACACAAAUUUUAAAAAUACAGUGAAAUGACAAUUUACUUUUUUUUUUUUUUUUUUUUUUUUAACAGAGUCUCACUCUGUCACCCAGGCUGGAGUGCAGUGGCAUGAUCUCGGCUCACUGCAACCUCCACCUCCUGGGUUCAAAUGAUUUUCCUGCCUCAGACUCCUGAAUAGCUGGGAUUACAGGUGCCCGCCACCAUGCCCAGCUAAUUUUUGUAUUUUUAGUAGUAUGGGGUUUCACCAUGUUGGUCAGACUGGUGUCGAACUUCUGUCCUCAAGUGAUCUGCCCACCUCAGCUUCCCAACGUGCUGGGAUUACAGGUGUGAGUCACUGUGCCGGGCCAUAUUUAAAUAUUUUUUAUUCUAUUAGGUAUUAUAAGUAACUUCAAGAUAAUUUAAAGUGUACAGGAGGAUGUGCAUAGGUUACAUGCAAAUACUACACUAUUUUAUAUCAGGGAUUUGAGCAUCUGUGAAUUUUGAUAUCCACAGGGGAUCUGGAGCCAAUCCCCUACGGAUUUUGAGGGAUGACUGUAUAAAUAAGAGAUCUGUAAAGAACAGCAAGGGAGUGAUUACUCCAAAAGUAAGGAAAAUGCUUGCUUGGAGGUGGGAAGGAGAGGAUGUGAUUAGGGAGGGAUGCACAGGAAGCUUCUAAAGUUCUAGUAAUGACCUAUUUCUUAACCAGGAUAUUGUAUGCACAUGUACAUGGAUCUUUAUCAUUUUUCAUACUGUGCAAUUUUAUACUCUUCUGAAUGUAUGAUACAUUUCAUAAUAAAAAUAAUUGAAGAAAGUUUAAUAUUCU